CAGUCGCCGCGGUAAUACGGAGGGUGCAAGCGUUAAUCGGAAUUACUGGGCGUAAAGCGCACGCAGGCGGUCUGUCAAGUCAGAUGUGAAAUCCCCGGGCUUAACCUGGGAACUGCAUUUGAAACUGGCAGGCUAGAGUCUUGUAGAGGGGGGUAGAAUUCCAGGUGUAGCGGUGAAAUGCGUAGAGAUCUGGAGGAAUACCGGUGGCGAAGGCGGCCCCCUGGACAAAGACUGACGCUCAGGUGAGAAAGCGUGGGGAGCAAACAGGAUUAGAUACCCCUGUAGUCCCUGUCUCUUAUAC
This 301-nucleotide ribosomal RNA is filed under the name uncultured bacterium. RNAcentral describes it as "partial 16S ribosomal RNA". It matches the Rfam family "Bacterial small subunit ribosomal RNA", at positions 509 to 807 of the family's 1533-position model. The record is from RNAcentral.